AGUGAACGCUAGCGGUAGGCCUAACACAUGCAAGUCGAACGGCAGCACAGUAAGAGCUUGCUCUUACGGGUGGCGAGUGGCGGACGGGUGAGGAAUACAUCGGAAUCUACUUUUUCGUGGGGGAUAACGUAGGGAAACUUACGCUAAUACCGCAUACGACCUACGGGUGAAAGCAGGGGAUCUUCGGACCUUGCGCGAUUGAAUGAGCCGAUGUCGGAUUAGCUAGUUGGCGGGGUAAAGGCCCACCAAGGCGACGAUCCGUAGCUGGUCUGAGAGGAUGAUCAGCCACACUGGAACUGAGACACGGUCCAGACUCCUACGGGAGGCAGCAGUGGGGAAUAUUAGACAAUGGGCGCAAGCCUGAUCCAGCCAUACCGCGUGGGUGAAGAAGGCCUUCGGGUUGUAAAGCCCUUUUGUUGGGAAAGAAAAGCAGCAGGUUAAUACCCCGCUGUUCUGACGGUACCCAAAGAAUAAGCACCGGCUAACUUCGUG
Molecule: ribosomal RNA, 492 nt
Filed under: uncultured bacterium
Lineage: Bacteria
Description: partial 16S ribosomal RNA
Rfam family: Bacterial small subunit ribosomal RNA
Source: RNAcentral